ACCGGCAGCUCAAGUGGUGGCCAUUUUUAUUGGGCCUAAAGCGUUCGUAGCCGGUUUGAUAAGUCUCUGGUGAAAUCCCGCAGCUUAACUGUGGGACUUGCUGGAGAUACUAUUAGACUUGAGGUCGGGAGAGGUUAGGGGUACUCCCAGGGUAGGGGUAAAAGGCUAGAAUCCGGGGAGGACCACCUGUGGCGAGGGCCGCUAACUGGAACGAACCCGACGGUGAGUAACGAAACUGAGGGGCGCGAACCC
Molecule: ribosomal RNA, 252 nt
Filed under: uncultured prokaryote
Description: partial 16S rRNA
Rfam family: Archaeal small subunit ribosomal RNA
Source: RNAcentral